UGUGAUUGGAUAUUUUAUAUAGUGAAAGGACUAUUUAAGUGUGAUCUCAUAAAACAAAGGAGAGAACUAUAGUGAUCACAUAAUGUCCUGUUACAGCAUGAGCUGUAAUCUGAUGCAAAGCAGCAGGCAGUCAGUUAAGACAAUUAAAUGCUCCCCCACCCCACCGAAACCUUUGUUCUUACAUCUCAAAUUAACAGAACUAAUGUACAUUGAACUUUUCUACAUUCCUUGAAUAGGCCAAACAGUCACACAAGGAAGCAUCACUAUACCACAUAUUGCAUUGUUGUGCUAAAAAGGCAUUCCGUUAAACUGAUUGUGUCAAUAGAUUGCUUAUCUCUCCAACAAAUACUGAC
This is a non-coding RNA of Pelobates cultripes (western spadefoot toad), 353 nucleotides long. Lineage: Eukaryota; Metazoa; Chordata; Amphibia; Anura; Pelobatidae. The record is from the annotation of a GenBank genome assembly.